ACGUGUAAUAAGUGAUAUCAUCAAAAUUUGUUUUAGCCGUCAAACUGGUAAUUGGUCUAGAAAUUUAUAAAAAUAGGUAAAAUUGGUCCCACCUUGAUUGUUGUAACAUUUGUGCUAAUGCGGGUAACUGUUAACAUGUGACUUUCACGUGUUAUUAAUUGUAUAAAAUAGCAUCAUAAAUUAAAGAGUGAUAAUUCAC
RNAcentral lists this long non-coding RNA (199 nucleotides) under Vigna radiata. RNAcentral's name for it is "long non-coding RNA (VRAD_LNC003305)". The record is from RNAcentral. Lineage: Eukaryota; Viridiplantae; Streptophyta; Magnoliopsida; Fabales; Fabaceae.